CGGGGGGAGCAAGCGUUGUUCGGAUUUACUGGGCGUAAAGGGCGCGUAGGCGGCCACCGCAAGUCGACUGUGAAAUCUCCGGGCUUAACCCGGAAAGGUCAGCCGAUACUGCGGGGCUAGAGUGCAGAAGGGGCAACUGGAAUUCUCGGUGUAGCGGUGAAAUGCGUAGAUAUCGAGAGGAACACCUGCGGCGAAGGCGGGUUGCUGGGCUGACACUGACGCUGAGGCGCGAAAGCUAGGGGAGCGAACGGGAUUAGGAUACCCCGGUAGUCCUAGCCUUAAACGAUGAAUGCUUGGUGUCUGGGGUUUUAUAGUCCCCGGGUGCCGUCGCUAACGCUUUAAGCAUUCCGCCUGGGGAGUACGGUCGCAAGACUG
This 375-nucleotide ribosomal RNA is filed under the name uncultured organism. RNAcentral's name for it is "bacterial SSU rRNA". It matches the Rfam family "Bacterial small subunit ribosomal RNA", at positions 526 to 896 of the family's 1533-position model. The record is from RNAcentral.